GACGAACGCUGGCGGCGUGCUUAACACAUGCAAGUCGAGCGGUAAGGCCCUUUCGGGGGUACGACGAGCGGCGAACGGGUGAGUAACACGUGGGUGACCUGCCCUCCAGCUCUGGGAGUAAGCCUCGGGAAACCGGGUCUAAUACUGGAUAUGACUCCAUGACGCAUGUUGUGGGGUGGAAAGCCUUGUGCGGCUGAGGAUGGGCCCGCGGCCUAUCAGCUUGUUGGUGGGGUGAGGCCUACCAAGGCGACGACGGGUAGCCGGCCUGAGAGGGCGACCGGCCACACUGGGACUGAGACACGGCCCAGACUCCUACGGGAGGCAGCAGUGGGGAAUCUUGCGCAAUGGGCGAAAGCCUGACGCAGCGACGCCGCGUGAGGGAUGACGGCC
Molecule: ribosomal RNA, 390 nt
Filed under: uncultured bacterium
Lineage: Bacteria
Description: bacterial SSU rRNA
Rfam family: Bacterial small subunit ribosomal RNA
Source: RNAcentral